Molecule: long non-coding RNA, 1548 nt
Organism: Pezoporus occidentalis (night parrot)
Lineage: Eukaryota; Metazoa; Chordata; Aves; Psittaciformes; Psittacidae
Exons: 3
Source: RefSeq, a predicted model, not a curated record
GUUAACUUCUCUUAAGGCCAGAAGAGACCAUUAAAUCAUCUGCCUGACCUCCCCCGUUACAGGGCCCUAUAAUUUCAUCCAGUUCCUAAGGCAUUAAGGCCAAUAAUUUGUGUGUGAGUAAAAGGUGCAUUCCAGAAAGGCCGCUGGUUCUGAGGAUUUCAAGAGAUGGCGAUUUUGCUCCCACCCUGGAGAGUUCCUUGGGGCAGUUAACCCCUGGUUAAGGGAUGAGCCUAAUUUCCGUGACAAGUUGCCUUUGCUUAAAUUACUCCGAAUUAGCAGCAUGUGUUUUGCAGUCUGAGAGUGCGGUUGCUGCGCUGUGGCCGCCCCAGUUUUCCCCUUCCUUUUGCCCAGGUUCCACGCCUGAUAUCCGCAUGGAGAAGGCCCUGGCUCUUCUUGGGCUGCCUAGGGACUCCCGAGCCACCCAGCUUCUAGGUCAGCCUGUUCGGUGACUGCAGAAGUGAAGAGCAGCAGCGCCUCCAGCCGGGUAGGCCAAUGGGACAUACCAUUGAAAACCAGGACCUAAUCCCGCUUUACUGUAGAAUCACGGCCUAACGUGUCUUCCUGACCAAGUCAGCAUCCAGCAGGAGGAGGAUGAGGUGAAUGCUGUUGGCAGGCACACCAGCAUGGAUGAAGCAAAUCCGGCUUCAGAGAAACAGCCCCUAACUGCUUGUGUGAGCCUGAGGCUUCUAAUGUGAGGAAAAACACGCGGUGACAAGUGUGGAAAAGAGCAAGCACUAAAUUACUGUCAGAAAAAUAAACGGCGGAGCGCUGUGCUGCGCAGUGAUUUACGGGGGCAAUUAGCCACAGCCCCAAGGAGCCGCCGCGGCACCCCCCGGUGCUGGCCCGGCUCCUGCACCCAGCCCGGGCACCCGGGGCUCGUCUGCCCCUCCCGCGGCUCUUGUUUUGCCUACCCCAGGAAUGGGGAUGUGGAGAAGGGAACUGCCUCAAAAGCCAGAGGCUGGGUUUGCGGGGAAGGUGUGAGCGCUGCGGACCUGCUUAUUCAUUGUGCCCAGGUGUGGGGUGAUUGAAAAGAUGGGGAACUACAGUUAAAGAAAAAGUAUUCCUGGAGAAGGGAAGCUGGAAAGCAGGGUGGGAAAGCUGCUGGGGCUGGAGGAGGGGGCUCUGCAGCUGCUGCAUGUCUUCUGGAGGUGUUGUGGGCCAUUAGGCAUCUGGGCAGCCCAGGAGAAGGGCCAGCUCUGCUGCUAGCUGGGGGUGGACAUUAAACAAGCUUAAUGCUGUUGUUUCACCAGGAGAGAUGUUUUAAUCUGAAGCUAGCAACAAAGUAUAGACAGUCCAAGCUCCAGUUCAACCUGAACCAUGACAGUGAGCUCCCAGACAGCACAUUGCAGGGCUCCCUAGGGAGCAGCUGGAAGGAUCACCAAACCCUGGUAUACAGAAUCACAGACUGGUUCGGGCUGGAAAGGACCUUAAAGCUCAUCCAGUUCCAACCCACUGCCAUGGGCAGGGAUACCUUCCACUAGAGCAGGUUGCUCCAAGCCCCACCUAACCUGGCCUUGAACACUGCCAGGGAUGGGGCAGCUACAGCUU